GGGGAGGCUGGAAGUCAGAAGUAUCAAACUGACCCAGAGCCUUGGGGGGCAAGAGAGGGAGGGGUAACCCAGGAGAACAUAAAGCAGUUCAAGAGAUAUACUGUUCUAUAGGCUGAGUUGUGUGCACCCUGCAGCUUCAGCAAGCAAUCUGGAAAUCAGUGCAGGGCUUGGCGUUCUCAAAUCACAGCUUUUGGUUUCAAAGCAACAACUAUAUUUUUUUUAAAACAGAAAUGUUUUCAAAGGGUUUCUUAGAAGAGCUAGUCAGGGUUUUCAGUGUGUUUGUGAGAUGGCUGGGGAGGUUUUAGGGCCUUGCACAACUGCCACUGCUUCUCUUGUUGCUGGUAUCUCUCACCAUUCGUUUCUGCCCAUUUUCAUCCCAUCCAUGUCCAAUGCCAUCUUACAGUUCUCUUGAGAAAUUUUUUUUAGAAGCUGAAUACAGUGGUACCUCGGAUUACAAACCUUUUGGGUUACAAACACUUUGGGUUACAAACUCCGCUAACCCAGAAAUAGUACCUCGGGUUGAGAACUUUGCCCCAGGAUGAGAACGGCGGCAGCAGCGGGAGGCUCCAUUAGCAAAAGUGUGCCUCAGGUUAAGAACGGUUUUCGGUUAAGAACGGACCUCCGGAACGAUUUAAGUUUGUAACCCGAGGUACCACUGUAACUGCAAAAAUAAGCCAGUUCUCACACACACAUAUGGCACAAAAGAGACUGUACUGAAACUGUCUGGGUUGUUGUUUUUAGUGCAGAGUACACACAGUUUUGCUUAUAUAGAAUGGAUAAAAUGGGUGGUUUUAAAGUGAAGAAUCAUAUAACUGAGGUGGGAGUUUGGGUGAGCAGGAUUAAAGUUCUGUUGAAAAGAGAACUCUAACCAAUUUUCCAGCUGCAUACGUCCAUGCAGUCUGAUUUCUGACAUCAUCCAUGGCAUGUGCCUCAAUUACUAGAUUGUGAGAGUGUCAGAAUGACCACUCCAACCUGAAAUGUGUGUUGAUUUUUAUUUCUGCCUUCCGCUAUCAAUCAAUCAAUCAAUCCAUUCUCCAGUAGGCUGAAUCCCCCACCUGUGAUUCUACCAUAAGAGGAACAGAUGAAAAACAGUUGGCCAGAAAAAAUGUCCUGUUCGCUAUUUCUGCCUCCUUGACCACGAACAGUAUAGGCAAAAGAAAGUACUUCCUAACGAUGCAUAACGAGCGGGUGAAAUUAACUGCCACAAGGGUAUGGUGAUGGUCGCUGCUGUAGAUCCUUUUGACAAGGGCUUUCGACAAAUCCAUGGGCAGAAGUUUAUUUAUUAUUUAUUUAUUAAAUUUGCGUCCUGCCCUUCCUCCCAUUGAGUAUGGGAUGUCGGUUCUGUAAAUGUCUACUAACCUUGAUAGCUGGAUGGAGCCUAAAUGUUCAGGGAUGGCAUACGUUUGAAUUUCAGUUGCUUGGAAGCAACAACAGGAGUCUUUGGGAAAAGGUGGGAGAGGAAUCUGCCCUGUCGCCCACUCAGGAAUCUAUUUCUGAACAUAAAAGGGCAGUUAAAAUGUGCCUAAGGCCUGCAGUGUGGUGUUCAUACGGUGUGUUGGGAUCUUCCAAGGGGCUGAAAGAUUCCUUCAGGUGCUUGCAAGUGCUGGACCUCUAGGGUGGGGUGUGACCUACAGCUGCUAGAAAAGUCACCUCCUCUAUCAGAGGCUCUAGUGAGAACUCUGUAGCCAACAGUUGAGAGAAGGCAAUGCUCUUUUUAGGUUGACAUCUACAGCAGCUGGGGAACCAGGCAGGAUUUUAGGAAGCGAGGAAGGGUUUCCAAAGGUUGGAGGGGGCACUGAUUUAAAGUGCAGGUAGGUAAUUUGGAUCGUAAGCUCUUAAAGGCAGCUUGAUUCUCACCCACCUACCCUGCACCCCAGUGGGGACCCUUUCCUAUUUUGUUGUUCAAAGCAGCUGAAAACCAAAGUCCCCAAAUAUUAGAAAUUCCUGUUUGUUCUAAUGUAUUGAAAAUGGAAAUGUUUUCUUUUGCUGAAAAUAUGACAGGCCGUUCUGUUCUGAAUAGCAGGGUGGGGAGGAAUCCAGAAAGAAAAACGUUUUGCCACAUUUAUAUGCUACAAAGUUAUCCAAGCAGAAGCACAUUUUAAGGGGCUCUGCAAUACUGUAUACAUGAAUCACCAAAGCCUACCUGCCCCCAAAGGCUUCUGAUUCUCUAUUGUUAGGGUUAGAUGUUUCCAAAGCUGGGUGAAGCCUGUGAUCCAGAAGAAGAAUUUACAAAGCCCUUGCUGGAUCAGACCCAAAGCCUAUCUAGUCCAGCAACCUGUUUGCCGCAGUGGGAGGCCCACAGGCAAGACCCUCUCCAAUCGUGGUCUCCUCUUCCUUCUGCCUCUGAUACUGGUGGAGGCAACCUAGCGAUCAUGACUAGUAGCCAUUGAUAGCUUUAUGGCCCAUGCUUUUGUCCAAUCUCCUUUUCAUUGGGGCUUUAAGCCUGUAAUCCUGUAACCCCCCCCCCCCCCCCGGAGUACAUUUCAUUGAAUUCAGUGGGACUUGCUUCUGAAUAGACAGGUGUCAGAUUGCUCUGUCUGAGCCUUAUUUGUUGGGGUCUUGUGAGGAUUCCAGUAAAGCUCAGUUUUCUAAACCUGGUUUCUAGCCUUUGUGAUGGAGGUGCAACGCACCAGAGAUUUCUGAGAAUGGAAGAGCCACCUUGCUGAGUCAAACCAGAAUUUUGCCACCAUGUAAAGUGAACAGCAGUCUUUAAUUGGGAGUCAUCAAACUUCAGGACUGUGGAAUCUACUUGGGUUUUUUUGUUGUUGACUCAAGAUCUAGGACCCUAGUGCAAAAUACAUGCUUUUCAGAAUUACAUAUCCCAGACUUGAUUUGGAGUACAGGAAGUGAAUGGAGCCAUUCACUCUUGGUAAUCUCACAUCCUUCCUUCAUUUCAGCAGAUAGACUUGUUUUGCUGUUGCUAUUGUUAAACACAUGUGAGUCAGAAAUCCUUGUUCUACAGUUAUCUCCGAAUAGGUCUCAAUCUGUUACAUAUAUUUAUUUAAUUGAAAUUUGUCCAUUGUUCAUUGAAGUCCCUUGCAGAAUUUGGCUUGUAGCUACUGGAAUCUUGAUAGGCUCUUGAAAUUCAGAAAUGCAGUAGGUAUAUACUACACAGCAUUGCAGGCUUCCAGAACCUGACUCUCCCAUACAUACAUUCUUUUUUAAAUUUAUUUGCAUAUCAAAUCUGAGUGUUAAAUCCCCAUUUUUUCUGUAAAGUGGUAACAGGAUGAACCAACUCACACUAAGAACAGUAUUUUCAGCUAAUAAUUUUCAGGAAAGAUCUUUCCCAGCUCCUAGAAAUGAUUUUACUAGAAAGGGUGUAUGAUCUGGAAUUACAGUAUAUAUAGGAAGCAAAAAGGCAUUGUCUCUGAACUAUGAAUCUCACCAUUAAAUCUUCCUAAUUAAGCAUUAAAUGUUCUAAUUAAGCAAUAGAAAGAACCCAGUGAAGAUUUUGAAAAAUUGCAGCUGUAGGCAGGGGUGUAUUCCUUUUUGAAUCGUCUUCAGUCCUAUUCUCAUUGGUAUGCUAUGACUGUAAAGUAAGACAGAACUUAAAAUUGCAUAUCGAGGGUUUUAGAAUUAGGGUUUUCAGAAAAGGCCCUUGCUUCAGCCUCAAGUGGAUUAAACCAACAGUCUUGAGAAGCUGGUGGAGAACAAGGAAGCGUUUUAAGUUUUAAUUGUGCCCUGUCGCUGAACGUCCUCUGAUCUGGGUUUGGCUUGAUGAUAACAGAAAAACACUUUAUUCCCAGGUGUAAAGAGUAAAUGUAAAUCUUCCUUACACGAUAAUACUUCCUGUCACAAAUGAGACACUGUUCAACCUCUUCAGUUGGGCAUGCAGUUGUCAUAUGAAGUUUGAGGAGUGGGAUUGCAACUUUAAAUGGUGAAUUUGAGAGGAGGGAUUUAACACUCUCUUUCUCUCUUGGGGGUGUUUCAGUUGCUUUUAGCUUUGACAGUAUUUGCUGGGAAGGAAGACAACUUCCUUUCCUGACCAGUGGCACACAUUUCCAAGCAACUUAACCAUUGCCAGUUCUGAGGUCUUACCCCAGAACUAGAAAGACGCCUGCCUGCUUGAGCCAUGCCUGCAGUCGCACAGGCCUCUGAGCAUGCAGCUAUAUUGCUUUGAUAUCAUGUAGCCCAGGGGAGCAGCUGGAUCUGCGUCACAGGCUUCUGUGACGCAUUUCCUUAUAUACCAUAUUUCCAGUGCUUGAAACCUUUGCAACUGGAGCAGAUUGGCCCCCCUUUUUUAACCUCUUAGCAAUGCCACCAGGCAAGCUAUUGAUUAGGUGGCGGGAUUGAUUUGACUCUGUCUGUCUGUCUGUGCAGACUGUAGCCAGUAGUGCAGUCCCAUCUGUACUACACAUCUGAAACAGUACCAUACCACUUUAAGCAGGGUGGUGUAACAAUCCCUCUUGCCAGGAAAUGCUGGGAAUUGUAGCUGUGAUGUGAAGUGGGGUCUCCUAACAGCCCUCGGCACCCUAACAAAUCAUUUGAGGGAAGCCAUGCUUUAAACGUAUGGUGCAAAUGGAGCCAAAAAUAGGAAAGUUUUGGGAAGCCCUUAUCCCAAACAUUUAUAUAUUCCGUGAUUCUGUGGGAGUACAGAAUGUGAUACUGGGCCCAGUCUUUAAAAACGAAUCUUUCUAAUUUUUAUGGAUACUAAAAUAAACCUCGGAAGUUUGUGGGCAGCAGGAGUGGCUGGAUAAGUUUUUCACUUUCAGGGUAGGGCUUCCCCCCUAUGUAGUGCCCAUUAGAACCAGGCUAAAUUUGGCAAAACUUUUUUAAAAAAACAAAUAAAUUAUGCAAAAUAAGACUGAAAAUGUAUGUUACUUGCAUAAUUUAUACAGGAAGAAGAAUUCGGUAUCUGAAGAUUUUAGAUUUUAUCUUGUUUUAACUGUGGGAAGUACACUUCAACAUGGUCUCUUCCUUGCAAGCUAGGCAAAAUAAAGUCACUCUACUCUAGAUUCACUUGACAAAAAUCCUAGAUAAGUUUUCCUUUAAAUUCAGAAACGGAUGUGGUAUUGUUCAGAAUUGCUCACUGCUUACUCAGCCAAAAAGGGAGCCAGCAGCAUGCAUCUUUAAAAUAUCUCUUAUGAGAAUUGUGGAUACUUCCAGGUGGGAAGGGGAUCAUUAAUCUUGAGGAAUUUAAUUUGAAGCUCAGUGUUGCAUGAAAGCCAAAGAGGUAGAUGCAAGUUCCUAGGUUUCUCUUGCAUAAUAAAUCCAAAUGACAAAACACCCUUCAUGCAUAUCUAUGGACUUUAGUUUAAUUGCAGUUGGAUAAUGCUACCAUUCCCACUAGUGUUACUGAAAGUAAAAGAGCAUCUCUGAUGUGAUGGACAUCUUGUUAUGAUGCAAGAGUCAAGCUAACCUGACCUAUCUUCUAUAAACCUAAUGAGAAGCAAUAACCGGAUGAUUGCCCUCAGAGGUCUGGUUCCCCAUCAUUUAGAAUGUACUGCAGCUAAGCAAAUACCUUUUUCCCCAAGCUUGUUUGGCUCCAUCAUGCAGAAUUGGAGCUGGUCAUGUACAGACUGGAGACUGCAAUUUGUGUGAUACAAGAAUUCAGGCAUCACCACCCCUAAGCGCAAAUGAUCUAUGGAGGCACUGAGAUAAGUCUGCUGUGGUUGAGCUGGAAGAUUCUAAAACUUGCAGUCCUGUAGAAGUUAGCGUUGCUUCUGGGGAAAGUGGAGAAGCCUUCGUUCCUUGGUAUUGAUAGCACUCGUAGAUGAGAAGUGUAGUUCAGCUAUGACUGUUGAGCAAAGGUGGCUCUGCUUUGGUUGGAAUGAGAUGAGCCAAAGUCCUUUGAGAAAAUGAUACUUGGCUAUUGAAAGAGGGCUCUUUCUAACUCUUAAAGCAGCUUUAUGUUGUCAUAUUUAACCUUGCGGCAAAACAGUGCUGGUUCCCCAUUUCUUGCAGCUUUUGAAUCUGAAGCUAAUAUCGGAAGUGCUUUUGCCUAUAGAGCCAGGAACCAGGAGUCUCUGCAAAUGCGCCUAGCCAUAACUAGAUGGCCCCAUAGCUAUUUUUUAUAACAAAAAAGUUUGCUUAUUUAAAAAUAAUAAUAAUGAAGCCCUGAUUUGCAAACUUCAAUUUUUUUUUUAAGUGCAGAUUUCAAAAUUCAGUUCCUUUUGUGAGACCAGAAAGCUACAGUCCUUGAAUGUAGAUAUAAUAAUUCUGAAUAUACUUCUCUUGAUCCUAAGACGCACAAAAGGGGAGGUCAGUACGUGGCCUUGCGAUGAAUGGAUCAGUCUGUUUCAUGUGUUUUCAUUCAUAAAUCCAUUCCAUUCAGUUUCUGCAUUACUCUGGAUUUGUUUUGGAUCCAUAUGAAAAUUUGUAUCUAAAAACAUAUUUUAACUCUGUAUAUACAUUUCUAAACAUUUAAACUAGGCAUUUUGUUACUUUUUUGAGACAAUCCCUGUGUCUCAUUAAUUCAGAUAAGUGCAAAAUCUAAGGAUAACUAAAUUCUAAUUCACAGGGGGUCUGGAUCGGGUCAUUUUGCAUCAGAAUACACAGAAAUAAAAUUCCUCAGGCAUCUGUAAUGAGACCUCUUUUCUCCACGUUUCCAGAAAUUAGUCACCCUAGCAUUGCAGGCUGUCUGUAAAAUUAAGGACUUUUCAAGCAUCUUGCAGUGUUGCCUGUGGGAGCUAUUGUAUGACAAAGACGCAAAAAUGUAGAGCUUGAAUGGAUUGUGACUUUGUGAAAUGAAUUUCCUAAUCAUGAACAAACAUCAGGUUUCCCUUGUGAGGGUGACCCUGAGGUAAUUGUGAUAUCAGUUGGACCCAAAGAUUAUGUUGAGUUGCGUUGUUCAUUCUUUGAGAGCGGCGCUCUCAAAUGCGGCGUUCUUGCUUUUCAUUUGGCCUGUGUAACACUUUGGAUUCUCACCAGGGCUGGAUCCUUGGAUGGUACAAUCUUGGCAGAGUUCCUUUGAAGUCACUGGAUUUGCAUCCCACAUCCAGAGCUAUUGAUCCCCAAUGGAGUAAGGUCCAUUAACAACAGCUGUAGGGAUCGUGUUUAUUAGAAAUAAUUGCUGUGUUACUAACUUUGAUGCUGAGAAUUAACUGAAGUAAUAUGACUUUCCCCUGCACUGUGCAGUGGACCUUAAAUGCUCAUAAGGAAGGCGAAAUAUGUUCCUGUGUCCAAAUCUUCUUCCUCUUAGCAGGGCUUUUUUUCAGCCAGAACUCACUGGAAUUCAGUGGGCACCAUUGCCAUUAUAAGAGAACAAGGGAGGAGUUCAUGGUGAGUUCCGGCACCUCUUUUUCUAGAAAAAUAGCACUGCCUCUAAGAUAAAGAAAGCUUCCUUUUUAAUAUGAGUUGAAGUGGGAACAAAUCUAAUACUUUUAACUUCCUGUACUAGGCUCCAAUUCAAGAUUCUCUAAACAUGUUUCUUGAAGUCUUCAUAAGGAUCUAAACCAUACAAUCAAAGGCAUGGAUUUUAGCAUGCUGCCUUCAUUGUUUUGUGGGGUGGGGGUGGGGGGGGCCUUUUAAAGCCAGCCUACUGACCAAUAUUUCCUGCAUUUCUCUUCCAAAUAUUUCAUCCCAUCCUAAGGCAGUAGUGUGGGAUAUGACUCUGGCUAGCCGUUCCCAAGGAUGGCUACUAGUCAACUUAGCCAACCAGUUAGAGGUUUUUUUGUGCAAAUAUACUUAACAGUACUUGAAAAGACUUUGAAGCCUUUUCAGGGGCAGCUUUUCAACUUUUUCUGAUGUUGUUUAGAAUUCCACCUUUCCUUGGAUUCAUACACAGACAAGCAAGCGAGCCCUUGGGUCCCUGGGGGGAAGUCACAGACAAACAUUAUGACAGGGACUUGAAUUCUUGUGGAGGGGAAUAGGGGUAUCCCAGUCCACAGAUUAAACAUGUGUACGCUAGAGCCUGUGAGGAAGGCACAAGGCCACUCGCACAAAGCACCAACAUUUCCCCCUAUCACGCAACUGUAACCUAGGCUGCAAAUCCUCAGUAUACUUACUUGGGUGUAAGCCCACUGAAAUAAUGGUGUUUCUUUCCAAGUAAAUGUUAUUAGGAUCAAGCUGCAAGAUGAAUCAUAAGCUAACUACAAUUUUUUUUUUAAUCUUGUUAGCAUAAUUUUACUACCGAAGUUGAAUCAUUAUAGUAGCUAACUUACCUGACAUGUAUUUUGCUAAAUAUGCAUGUUCUUCUAUUUUUAAUUUUAAUCCUUCCAAUUACCCCCACACCAAUCUAUUUUGUAAGUCCAUUUUUAUUGUUUAAAAGAAAUCUAACACACACCUGUUUAGAGAUCUUUCAGUCUUUAAUUGCUAUUUACUGCUCAUUGCAUAAAGUCAGAUAGCGUCACUCAUUUUCUAGGUUUUUUUUUUAAGAUUAGAAUUUUUUUCUGACUCCGUUUUGAAAGACCAACCCCCGCUUCCCGCGUACACUUUAUCUGUCUAUAAUAUUACCCUCGCAGACGGGAUGUACACUUUUUCUGACUUAUAACCAUUGCUCUUGUAUUUUGGUAGAUGCUUUGUUGAUAGUAACUAAAUGCCUAGUAAGAUUUUAAAAGUAAAAACUUCAAUCUCAGUUGUUACUUUAAGCCAAUCUUUCCCCUCACACACCCUCUUUGAAUAACCUUGGAAGUUGCAUUUUUACCAUAUAUAUCUCCCCAUGACCACCUUUUAAAAUGUUUAGCCUGAGAUUUUAGCUUUAAAGGGAAAAAAAGCAUACAAACCAAUUUUUGAUGAACAGAGUAAAUCUGAUUUUUUCUUUUCUUGUUAGUGAUCCCCUGUCAAUUGCAAGUUCAUGCUUUAUUUAUGUGGGAUAAAUUCAUUAUUCCCUUUUUUUAAAAAAUGGAUUUUCUUUUUAUGCUAUAUUAACACCUGUUCUUAGUGGAUGGAUAAAUGUUAUCUUUACUACCCCAACCUUGAUAAACAAAUCCCCAUCUCCCCAAUCCUUGCACCCCACACCAAGCUCCAUAGGUUGUUGGGUUUUUUAAUCAGUGUAAGUUUGGACAGGUUGCUCUAAAUCAGGGGAAACUCGCAGUAGGUUUGCAAUCAGAAAGCUUGGGUGUCUUUUGGGAAUGUUUUUGCUGGUGGAAUCCUGGCGCGUUGUUCAUCUGUUGAUGAUGGAGAGAGACUUACAGUGCUUAAUAAAUUCUAUUCUUUUAGUAAAAAAUAAAUAAAUGGUGUGUUUGUA
Molecule: long non-coding RNA, 9127 nt
Filed under: Podarcis lilfordi (Lilford's wall lizard)
Lineage: Eukaryota; Metazoa; Chordata; Lepidosauria; Squamata; Lacertidae
Source: RNAcentral